This is a long non-coding RNA of Anguilla anguilla (European eel), 1524 nucleotides long. RefSeq lists it as uncharacterized. The record is from RefSeq and is a predicted model, not a curated record. The transcript is spliced from 2 exons. NCBI's taxonomy places the organism in Eukaryota, Metazoa, Chordata, Actinopteri, Anguilliformes, Anguillidae.
AUACCAAAACUUCAGCACUUUCUCGGUACUUAAAAAAAAUGAACAUAAAAAUAAACGGUUCGCUAUUAGAAUUUUCCGACGUUAGGUAGUUUUGUGUCAAAUGUAAAAGCCAGGGAAACGUGUCUCCCGCAUUGCUAAUUUAGACGAUGGAAAGUGUAAUUUGUCAGAAUCUUCGCCAGAUGGCAGUAGCAACUAAGGUGGCAUUAAAAAUGAUAUAAAAUAGUUGUGUGGUCUUCAUUUGGUUUUUGGUGUUUGACAAACUGGAGCUUGCAAGCCUUUUCAAGCUAGCAUUGUUGCCACCUCUUUUGCAAGCUAUUUUUGCGCUCUUUUGAAAGCAUUUAGCUAAACAUUAUUUCCAUUAGAAAUCCAAAAACUCAACUUUUUUCCCACAAAUCCUCUAGCAUAAUUACUCCAUACCUGGUGUAAUCGUGGUCUUAAAAAAAAUUAAAAAUAACAAAUAAAUUGGCUUUGGCUUUGUGCCAGUGCAUUGUGUAAUCCAUAUUAAUCAAGAGUAUUUCUCUGUAUUUUAACCAAAUACUGAAUAAAUUGAUUUUGUUUUGCAGAGUUCUCUACAUUUGGUGCAACAGCUCAAAUGGAAACUACAGCACAAGAUCAGAAUAAAGUGAAGAACUCGAGGUCCAGCCUUCCCCACUCAAGACAUGCCUGAGACAAGAGUGACUGUAUUCCAAGUUCCAUUAUUCCAAGUUGAACAAUGCAUGGGAGGCCUGUGAAUUUGGGCAGUGUGAUUUGGAACUGUAUAGUACAUAAUAAGACUCUAUUGAGCUCCUAUAACCUUAUUAAAUAGUUAACAUGGAUAGCAUUUUUGAAAAUUAAGUAACAUGAGAAAAUGAUUGUGACAUGUCUUUAGGGGGUGAUUACAAGCCCUUAAAAAGUCCUACAUUGUCUUACAUUUAUUUUUGUUCAUGAAAUUGUCUAAUACAUCAUGACAGUUGAAUAUAUCAUGGUGUAUUUAUCUGUGGUUACAAUGUGUUUGUAUUUCAAUGGUAAAAGCCCACAAUGUGUCCUUUUCUUGGACCAGAAUAAACAUUUGGACAAAUGUGAAAGUUGUCAUUUUAGAUAACUGUAAAAAUGUAAAUUAGCUGAGAGUACAACUUGCCUGUGCUUACUUGUGUGGCACACUGUCUUAAAUGUUAUUCUAAGAAGCAUUUAAAAUGUCUAAAAAACCUUAAAUUUAACUUGCUAAUGCCUGCAGACAUCCUACUUUAAUAUGUGGGGGAUCGUAACUUAAAUGUAGUUCACUGCUUGAAAAAGGCAAAAAUACUCAACACUGUUAUAAUGUAGAAAUAAUUGGUCUAUGGUUAUUACUGUCCUGAAACUACAACAAUGCAAGACAAUGCAUAUUUUAUUGACAAGGAGUUUUGGGUGUUUUAAAUCUAGUUCUUGUGCACUUCAAUCUGUUGACAUAUCAAUAAAUUUAUCAGAAAAAUACUACGGAGGAUGUAGUCAUGAUAUUCUGUCAAUAUGCUGCAGUUGAUGCUUAUGAUGGUGGUGAAAGUGAUUAUG